Molecule: ribosomal RNA, 468 nt
Filed under: uncultured bacterium
Lineage: Bacteria
Description: partial 16S ribosomal RNA
Rfam family: Bacterial small subunit ribosomal RNA
Source: RNAcentral
GACGAACGCUGGCGGCGUGCUUAACACAUGCAAGUCGAACGGAUAGGCCCUGCUUUCGUGGGGUGCUCGAGUCGCGAACGGGUGAGUAACAUGGGAGUAACCUGCCCUUGACUUUGGGAUGACUUCAGGCAACUGGUGCUAAUACCUGAUAGGAGCUCCUGCUGCAUGGGGGGGGUUGGAAAGCUUCGGCGGAUGGGGAUGGACGCGCGGCUUAUCAGCUUGUUGGUGGGGUAGUGGCUUACCAAGGCUUUGACGGGUAGCCGGCCUGAGAGGGUGACCGGCCACAUUGGGACUGAGAUACGGCCCAGACUCCUACGGGAGGCAGCAGUGGGGAAUAUUGCACAAUGGGCGGAAGCCUGAUGCAGCAACGCCGCGUGCGGGAUGACGGCCUUCGGGUUGUAAACCGCUUUCGCCUGUGACGAAGCGUGAGUGACGGUAAUGGGUAAAGAAGCACCGGCUAACUACGUG